Molecule: long non-coding RNA, 153 nt
Organism: Morus notabilis
Lineage: Eukaryota; Viridiplantae; Streptophyta; Magnoliopsida; Rosales; Moraceae
Exons: 3
Source: RefSeq, a predicted model, not a curated record
AGAAAUCGUCCCGCUUUGCCGGGAACUUGGAAUAGGGAUAGUCCCAUAUAGCCCUCUUGGCCGCGGAUUUUUUGGUGGCAGAGCAGUUGUUGAGGGUGUGCCUGCAAAUAGUUUCCUGGAAAUAAAUCCUCGGUUUCGAGGGGAAAAUUUAGA